GUUUCUGUACGAUCACCAAAGUUAAGCAAUAUCGAGCCUGGUCAGUACUUAGAUGAGUGACCGCUUGGGAAUAGCAGGUAUUGUAAG
Molecule: non-coding RNA, 87 nt
Organism: Acanthosepion pharaonis
Lineage: Eukaryota; Metazoa; Mollusca; Cephalopoda; Sepiida; Sepiidae
Source: the annotation of a GenBank genome assembly